GAUGAACGCUGGCGGCGUGCCUAAUACAUGCAAGUCGAGCGAACAGACGAGGAGCUUGCUCCUCUGACGUUAGCGGCGGACGGGUGAGUAACACGUGGAUAACCUACCUAUAAGACUGGGAUAACUUCGGGAAACCGGAGCUAAUACCGUAUAACAUGUUGAACCGCAUGGUUCAACAGUGAAAGACGGUCUUGCUGUCACUUAUAGAUGGAUCCGCGCCGCAUUAGCUAGUUGGUAAGGUAACGGCUUACCAAGGCAACGAUGCGUAGCCGACCUGAGAGGGUGAUCGGCCACGCUGGAACUGAGACACGGUCCAGACUCCUACGGGAGGCAGCAGUAGGGAAUCUUCCGCAAUGGGCGAAAGCCUGACGGAGCAACGCCGCGUGAGUGAAGAAGGUCUUCGGAUCGUAAAACUCUGUUAUUAGGGAAGAACAAAUGUGUAAGUAACUAUGCACGUCUUGACGGUACCUAAUCAGAAAGCCACGGCUAACUACGUG
RNAcentral lists this ribosomal RNA (497 nucleotides) under uncultured bacterium. RNAcentral's name for it is "partial 16S ribosomal RNA". It matches the Rfam family "Bacterial small subunit ribosomal RNA", at positions 28 to 507 of the family's 1533-position model. The record is from RNAcentral.